GACGAACGCUGGCGGCGUGCUUAACACAUGCAAGUCGAACGGAAAGGCCCUGCUUUUGUUCGGUGCUCGUGUGGCGAACGGGUGAGUAACACGUUAGUAACCUGCCCUUUACUUUUGGAUAACUUCAGGAAACUGGGGCUAAUACCCGAUAGGAGCUCUUGCUGCAUGGUGUGGGUUGGAAAGUUUCGGCGGUUGGAGAUGGACUCGCGGCUUAUCAGCUUGUUGGUGAGGUAGUGGCUUACCAAGGUUUUGACGGGUAGCCGGCCUGGGAGGGUGACCGGCCACAUUGGGACUGAGAUACGGACCAGACGGCUACGGGAGGCAGAAGGGGGGAAUAUUGCACAAUGGGCGGAAGCGUGAGGCAGAAACGCCGGGUGCGGGAUGACGGCCUUCGGGGUGUAAACAGCUGUCGAAUGUGACGAAGAGUGAGUGACGGUAAUGGGUAAAGAAGCAACGGCUAACUACGUG
RNAcentral lists this ribosomal RNA (468 nucleotides) under uncultured bacterium. Its description in RNAcentral is "partial 16S ribosomal RNA". It matches the Rfam family "Bacterial small subunit ribosomal RNA", at positions 28 to 507 of the family's 1533-position model. The record is from RNAcentral.